GAUGAACGCUGGCGGCGUGCUUAACACAUGCAAGUCGAACGGAAAGGCCUCAGCUUGCUGGGGUACUCGAGUGGCGAACGGGUGAGUAACACGUGGGUGAUCUGCCCUGCACUUUGGGAUAAGCUUGGGAGACUGGGUCUAAUACCGAAUAUGACCACUUCUUGGAUGUUGUGGUGGAAAGCUUUUGCGGUGUGGGAUGAGCCUGCGGCCUAUCAGCUUGUUGGUGGGGUAAUGGCCUACCAAGGCGGCGACGGGUAUCCGGCCUGAGAGGGUGUACGGACACAUUGGGACUGAGAUACGGCCCGGACUCCUACGGGAGGCAGCAGUGGGGAAUAUUGCACAAUGGGCGCAAGCCUGAUGCAGCGACGCCGCGUGGGGGAUGAAGGCCUUCGGGUUGUAAACUCCUUUCGCUAUCGACGAAGCCACUUGUGGUGACGGUAGGUAGAUAAGAAGCACCGGCUAACUACGUGCCAGCAGCCGCCGUAA
Molecule: ribosomal RNA, 486 nt
Filed under: uncultured bacterium
Lineage: Bacteria
Description: partial 16S ribosomal RNA
Rfam family: Bacterial small subunit ribosomal RNA
Source: RNAcentral